This 574-nucleotide ribosomal RNA is filed under the name uncultured Sebacina. RNAcentral describes it as "eukaryotic LSU rRNA". The stretch from base 140 to 293 matches the Rfam family "5.8S ribosomal RNA". The record is from RNAcentral. Lineage: Eukaryota; Fungi; Basidiomycota; Agaricomycetes; Sebacinales; Sebacinaceae.
GGCUCUUGCAAGUGCACGUUGGUGGCUUUCAUCCAAUACCCCCUGUGAACCUUUGGCCUCUUGCUAGCUUCGGCUGGUAGAGGAUUUUUACACACUCGAAUGUAAUGAAAACUAUUGUCGUGCGCAAGCACUAAUGUACAACUUUCAACAACGGAUCUCUUGGCUCUCGCAUCGAUGAAGAACGCAGCGAAAUGCGAUAAGUAAUGUGAAUUGCAGAAUUCAGUGAAUCAUCGAAUCUUUGAACGCACCUUGCACCCUUUGGUAUUCCGAAGGGUAUGCUCGUUUGAGUGUCAUUGUACUCUCACACUCUCUGAUCUUUUUGGAUUCAGGGAGCGGUGGACUUGGGUGUUUGCUGCUUUCGUUGUAGCUCACCUUAAAUGCAUCAGUGCAUCUCUUGGUUGGACAUAGUACGGCGUGAUAAGUAUCUUCGCCGGCACCUCGCAAGAGGGUGGCCGAUUGGGAGCUCUGUGCUUUCAAACCGUCUUCGGACAAAUUUUGACAACUUGACCUCAAAUCGAGUAGGACUACCCGCUGAACUUAAGCAUAUCAAUAAGCGGAGGAAAAGAAACUAACA